This 507-nucleotide ribosomal RNA is filed under the name uncultured bacterium. Its description in RNAcentral is "bacterial SSU rRNA". It matches the Rfam family "Bacterial small subunit ribosomal RNA", at positions 28 to 525 of the family's 1533-position model. The record is from RNAcentral.
GACGAACGCUGGCGGCGUGGAUUAGGCAUGCAAGUCGAACGGUAUCAUCCUUUCGGGGGUGAGAGAGUGGCGAACUGGUGAGUAACACGUAGGUUAUCUACCCUCAAGACGGGGACAACCCAGGGAAACUUGGGCUAAUACCGGAUGUGAGCAACUUUUAGUUGUUUGAAAGGUGGCGUAAGCUGUCGCUUGGGGAUGAGCCUGCGUCCUAUUAGUUAGUUGGUGAGGUAACGGCUCACCUAGGCAAUGAUAGGUAGGCGGCCUUAACGGGUGGUCGCCCACACUGGGAUUGAGAUACGGCCCAGACUCCUACGGGAGGCAGCAGUCGAGAAUAGUCUACAAUGGUCGGAAGACUGAUAGUGCGACGCCGCGUGAACGAUGAAUCCCUUCGGGGUGUAAAGUUCUUUUAUAUGUGAGCAGUGCUUCUUAUAUUAACAGUAUGGGGAGAGAGAUAUUAGCAUAUGAAAUAAGCAACGGCUAACUCCGUGCCAGCAGCCGACGGUAAAA